CUGAGCGGGACCGUGUGGCUCGGGGCGGCCAGCACGGGGUUUCCCGGGGCCGGACGGCAGGGUGCUUACAGGAGCGGCACAGGGGUCUUUUUGUAAGGCAAGGAAGAUAGGCAACCAGCACUGGAAUGCUGCCACUGGGAGAUUUAUUGGAAGUUUUGAAGGGCUCAGUAGACUGGGAAGGUAGAUGAUAAUAGAUGGAAAUUAUGGAUUUCCAAGGCUGGAUGGUCUCUCAUAGCAGCUUUAGCCACAAGUUCCUGCAACAUUCCUUACAGAAACACAGCUGCUAUCUAUUGAAAUAUAAGUCAUUGUUCA
Molecule: long non-coding RNA, 312 nt
Organism: Vidua chalybeata
Lineage: Eukaryota; Metazoa; Chordata; Aves; Passeriformes; Viduidae
Exons: 4
Source: RefSeq, a predicted model, not a curated record